CCCUUAGAUGUUCUGGGCCGCACGCGCGCUACACUGUUCGACGCAGCGAGUCUUAACCUUGACCGAAAGGUUUGGGUAAUCUUCAGCAAAGUCGAACGUGAUGGGGAUCGAUCAUUGCAAUUAUUGAUCGUGAACGAGGAAUUCCUAGUAAGUACAAGUCAUCAGCUUGCGCUGAUUACGUCCCUGCCCUUUGUACACACCGCCCGUCGCUACUACCGAUUGAAUGGUUUAGUGAGAUCUCUGGAUUGACGCUGGCUAGGGGGCGACCCUUGGCCAGGCUGUCGAGAAACUGCUCAAACUUGAUCAUUUAGAGGAAGUAAAAGUCGUAACA
This 331-nucleotide ribosomal RNA is filed under the name uncultured eukaryote. RNAcentral describes it as "partial 18S ribosomal RNA". It matches the Rfam family "Eukaryotic small subunit ribosomal RNA", at positions 1470 to 1796 of the family's 1831-position model. The record is from RNAcentral.